AGCCGCUCAGAAACUUAAAGGAAUUGACGGGGCCCGCACAAGCGGUGGAGUAUGUGGUUUAAUUCGAUGCAACGCGAAGAACCUUACCUGGUCUUGACAUCCCGGAGACCCUUAGGAAACUAGGGGGUGCUUCCAUCUGGAAGAAUCUGGAGACAGGUGCUGCAUGGCUGUCGUCAGCUCGUGUCGUGAGAUGUUGGGUUAAGUCCCGCAACGAGCGCAACCCUUGCCUUUAGUUGCCAGCAGUUCGGCUGGGCACUCUAAAGGGACUGCCGGUGUUAAACCGGAGGAAGGUGGGGAUGACGUCAAGUCCUCAUGGCCUUUAUGACCAGGGCUACACACGUACUACAAUGGCCGAUACAAAGGGCAGCGACACUGCGAGGUGAAGCCAAUCCCGUAAAAUCGGUCUCAGUCCGGAUUGGAGUCUGCAACUCGACUCCAUGAAGUUGGAAUCGCUAGUAAUCGUGGAUCAGCAUGCCACGGUGAAUACGUUCCCGGGCCUU
Molecule: ribosomal RNA, 500 nt
Filed under: uncultured Desulfobulbus sp.
Lineage: Bacteria; Pseudomonadati; Thermodesulfobacteriota; Desulfobulbia; Desulfobulbales; Desulfobulbaceae
Description: bacterial SSU rRNA
Rfam family: Bacterial small subunit ribosomal RNA
Source: RNAcentral